RNAcentral lists this ribosomal RNA (433 nucleotides) under uncultured bacterium. RNAcentral describes it as "partial 16S ribosomal RNA". It matches the Rfam family "Bacterial small subunit ribosomal RNA", at positions 29 to 507 of the family's 1533-position model. The record is from RNAcentral.
AACGAACGCUGGCGGCAUGCCUAACACAUGCAAGUCGAACGAGACCUUCGGGUCUAGUGGCGCACGGGUGCGUAACGCGUGGGAACCUGCCCUUAGGUUCGGAAUAACUCCCCGAAAGGGGUGCUAAUACCGGAUAAUUUCUUCGGACCAAAGAUUUAUCGACUUUGGAUGGGCCCGCGUUGGAUUAGCUGGUUGGUAGGGUAAAAGCCUACCAAGGCGACGAUCCAUAGCUGGUCUGAGAGGAUGAUCAGCCACACUGGGGCUGAGACACGGCGCAGACUCCUACGGGAGGGAGCAGUGGGGGAUAUUGGAAAAUGGGCGGAAGCCUGAUGCAGCAAGGCUGCGUGAGUGAUGAAGGCCUUAGGGUUGUAAAGCUCUUUUACCCGGGAUGAUAAUGACGGUACCGGGAGAAUAAGCUCCGGCUAACUCCGUG